CGUGGUCCAAUGAAAACUAUCUCUUGCUUUUACAGAGUAAGCAUAUAAAACAUUGUUUUAGUCUUUGCAUGCUAUAAAACGAGAGGGAGGAGUAUUACCCAAAAUUAUUAGGCAUCGUUCUUAAAAUUUUGGGAAGAAUUUAGUUACAUGUACUCGUAUCUAAUGUAAUUGUCAUUGAGGAAAUGCAAGCUUUUAGUAAAUAGUGUCACACUUAUUUAAGCCAUGAUGAACUACAUAAAACAUUCAAUCACAUGAAAACACAUUUUGCCAACAUAAGUCAUGAAAC
RNAcentral lists this long non-coding RNA (286 nucleotides) under Mytilus galloprovincialis (Mediterranean mussel). Lineage: Eukaryota; Metazoa; Mollusca; Bivalvia; Mytilida; Mytilidae. The record is from RNAcentral.